Molecule: ribosomal RNA, 388 nt
Filed under: uncultured bacterium
Lineage: Bacteria
Description: bacterial SSU rRNA
Rfam family: Bacterial small subunit ribosomal RNA
Source: RNAcentral
AUUGAACGCUGGCGGCAUGCCUUACACAUGCAAGUCGAACGGCAGCACGGGAGCUUGCUCCUGGUGGCGAGUGGCGAACGGGUGAGUAAUACAUCGGAACGUACCCUGAAGUGGGGGAUAACGUAGCGAAAGUUACGCUAAUACCGCAUAUUCUGUGAGCAGGGAAGAGGGGGAUCGCAAGACCUCUUGCUUUAGGAGCGGCCGAUGUCGGAUUAGCUAGUUGGUGAGGUAAAGGCUCACCAAGGCGACGAUCCGUAGCGGGUCUGAGAGGAUGAUCCGCCACACUGGGACUGAGACACGGCCCAGACUCCUACGGGAGGCAGCAGUGGGGAAUUUUGGACAAUGGGCGCAAGCCUGAUCCAGCCAUGCCGCGUGAGUGAAGAAGGCC